Molecule: long non-coding RNA, 287 nt
Filed under: Daucus carota (carrot)
Lineage: Eukaryota; Viridiplantae; Streptophyta; Magnoliopsida; Apiales; Apiaceae
Description: long non-coding RNA (DCAR_LNC001192)
Source: RNAcentral
UGGUGAGGUUUCGGAUAGACAGGGUCCGGACUAACCUCAAUCCUGCUAAUAGGGCUUCAUACUCUGCUUGAUUGUUGGUUGCUGUGAAGUUGAAAGAGAUUGCUGUCUUGAUGGUGAACCCAUCCGGGCUCUUCAGGAUUAGCCCGGCUCCUGACCUUUCGGUUGUUGAGGAGCCGUCGACAUGGAGUAUCCAAGACCCCGGGUUGGACUCUUCCGGGGCUUCUGGUUCGGUUUCCAUGGGAGUUGACUGGUUUUCUGGGAAGUUGCAUUCCACCACGAAGUCUGCC